CGUUUAUGGCUCAGAUACUAGAUUUGUUGGGAAUUUUACCCCUAAACUUGAAUCAAUGACAAAAAUAAAAUCAAACAACCAUAAAGCAGUAGAAUCAACACAAGAAAUUGUUCACCCAAUUCGGUUAAGCCUAACCUGAGGGCUUAGAGGCAAGCUCGUCUCUAGUGCAAAAGACCGUCAAGGGAGAGUGUAUAAUCAGAGAUUAAACUAAAUUGAAAACCAAAUUUGGUCAUCGAUCUACAUAGAUCUCGCAAAUAAUUAACCCUAACCAACCUUGACUGCUAGAACCCUAGACCUAGUGUAGAUUUACCAACCAGUAAUUAGGCUUUAAACACUGCACUUCCACUAGUAAUGACACAGUAGGAUUACCAAACGCGAAUCAAUAUUACAGAUUGAAGAGGAAGAUGAAUACAAACUCCAAAAACAGAGAGAAAC
This 435-nucleotide long non-coding RNA is filed under the name Olea europaea (common olive). RNAcentral's name for it is "long non-coding RNA (OEUR_LNC002066)". Lineage: Eukaryota; Viridiplantae; Streptophyta; Magnoliopsida; Lamiales; Oleaceae. The record is from RNAcentral.